CGAGAAAAUAGCUGGUCCAUAUAUUUGAUUAAGCUGUCUGAUCUAUAUCGUGAUCAUGGUAAACAACGAUCUGCAGGACUAAAUGUGCGUCAUACACCUACCCUGCCACAUAACAAAAGCGUAAUCUCAGACAAGACAAAAUGUCUUGAGUUUUAUGUUUGGCACCGCCGUCAGACGUUUCACUAUACGGCUGGCUCCUAGCACACGAUAAAGUGUAUAUGUAUCCGGAUUCGAGCGUAGACCUUCACGCGUUUCAACGGCUGCUAACCAAAGGGGCUGUCAGUGACGUGGCUACAAAGUUGACGCAGACCGUGUUUUGAGAGUAACGCAUGUAAAAACAGUUAUCCGAGAGAUGGUGUGAGACUGCUCAGUGCAUGAAAGGGCCCCCAUAUUUGUUCUUCGAAAUUUGUUCACGCCCUUUAGCUGAAAAACUGAAAGAUCUAUUUGAGGCCGGCGUCACUAGGUCGGAACUCUAACCAUGAGGAACACAAUGGUACCAAUGAUACCCCGCAAGUGGACGAGAACAUCAAGGUUUAAAGCAGGACAACGCAGGUAGCGGGUUUUUGACGCGAACCGCUAGAGAGCUGGAGUUCGUUAAAGGCUAUGAAAAAAUACAGAAUCAAUGGACUUUGACCGGUGGCAUGCGAUUACCUCGGCGACGGCUGUACCCUACUCCGGUGCCGACUGUGGAAACGUAAUUUCCGUAUGCUGGACACUCGAACCCGCGCUGUUAACGCUAGCACCGCCUGAGCCAAACACGAAAGAGCGUUCCUAAAUAAUUUAUCAAAGUAGCCAGCGUUCGUUGCAUUAUCAAAAUCGCAGUGAUCAAAGCAACCAUCAAUCUUCUGACGACGUUUGUUAGAAAAAAAAACCCUGAAAAAUUGUUCUUUCUCAAAACUUAAUGUCGCCGAGUGGCCCGCAAGGCAGACACGAAGCAGAGUGUGAACCAAAGCUGGCGGGGAAUCGCUUCAGCGGUUCUAACACAGAUAGAUCUGCCUACUUCUCCUAUACAUAUAAACGCAUAGCCAGGGAAAUAACUGCGAGUUGUACCUAGAAAAAAAAACGAGAUAUAAAGAAAAAAAAAAAGAGAGAAAGUGGAGAGGUCUUGGUUCUACGGGAGGUUCACAGCGAUAGGGAUGGCUCUAUAUGCGGCCGCGAUAUAUUCGGAGAAAGCGUAGAGGGCGGAGAGGGGGCGUGAGGCUGACGUCGGCAGUGGCUUCUCCUAAGUGCAUUUUGCAGUAGCAUUCGAGAGACUGUUGGGUGAGGGAAAUCGGGUUAGGAAAGAUCGGCGGUGGAAAUGGGGUUGUGCACCAAGCAUCGUAAAGGCAAAAUGCGGUCGUUGUGGCGAGGCGCAGACGACGAUUUGGGUGCACCGCAAGAAAUAGUUUGCGAAGGCUGACGGAAAGAAUUGCGAUGUGAAGAAAACAUCGACCAAAGCGACGAUAUAUUGGGAUGGGGUAUGGAAGAUUUG
This is a long non-coding RNA of Varroa destructor (honeybee mite), 1471 nucleotides long. RefSeq lists it as uncharacterized. The record is from RefSeq and is a predicted model, not a curated record. Lineage: Eukaryota; Metazoa; Arthropoda; Arachnida; Mesostigmata; Varroidae.